CUCUCAUGUUGCUCAGCGCUCCAGUGCUCCAUGUCCUUUCCUACUGCUCAUCUCUCAUGUUGCUCAGCGCUCCAGUGCUCCAUGUCCUUUCCUACUGCUCAUCUCUCAUGUUGCUCAGCGCUCCAGUGCUCCAUGUCCUUUCCUACUGCUCAUCUCUCAUGUUGCUCAGCGCUCCAGUGCUCCAUGUCCUUUCCUACUGCUCAUCUCUCAUGUUGCUCAGCGCUCCAGUGCUCCAUGUCCUUUCCUACUGCUCAUCUCUCAUGUUGCUCAGUGCUCCAGUGCUCCAACAUCCAUCUAUUGCUGUGACUACCUGGACCUACCUAUUGGUUUUACCAACAUCCAUCUAUUGCUGUGACUACCUGGACCUACCUAUUGGUUUUUACCAAUUGAAACCAAACCAUAUGGAUUUAAAUGAAAAGUCGUUGAAUAAACAUUUCUAAUAGGCUACAUGUCAUAUAAACACUCUAAAUAGGAUGAUUACAUUUCUAAUAGGCUGCAUGUCAUAUAAACACUCUAAAUAGGAUGAUUACAUUUCUAAUAGGCUACAUGUCAUAUAAACACUCUAAAUAGGAUGAUUACAUUUCUAAUAGGCUACAUGUCAUAUAAACACUCUAAAUAGGAUGAUUACAUUUCUAAUAGGCUACAUGUCAUAUAAACACUCUAAAUAGGAUGAUUACAUUUCUAAUAGGCUGCAUGUCAUAUAAACACUCUAAAUAGGUCAGGAGUCAGACCGGGAGCCUAAGAAGGAACGAAAAUAAAUGAAUGAGGCUAUAUUAUUAUUUCAAGUCAAUAGCCUACAUAGAAAUACAUUGUGAAGCAUUUGCGAGUGUGACACAAUAGGCUGGUACGGACAUAAAGAAUUUAAACAACAUUUUGUUGUAUUAAAUAAUUAUAGUCUAUAAAUUGUGCAUAUCGGCUGUGAAUUACUGAGAAUUAAAUACAAAUGAAAUGAUAAAUGACUUAUUAGAGCCUUUUGAAAAUGUUGAGUUUGGCCAUGUCUGUGGCUUCAGGCCCAUGUGAUGGUGACUUCAGGCCCAUGUGAUGGUGACUUCAG
This is a long non-coding RNA of Oncorhynchus tshawytscha (Chinook salmon), 1054 nucleotides long. The record is from Ensembl. NCBI's taxonomy places the organism in Eukaryota, Metazoa, Chordata, Actinopteri, Salmoniformes, Salmonidae.